CUCUCAAAGGUGCUUGCUGGAGCUGCAGUCUCCACCAGGCUAUCAGAACAGGGGGUGGCUUAAACAGCAUGGAAUCUCAGCUUUUCGUUCUCCAGAGGAAAAUGCUGAGGAUUAGAGGCAGGGAUAGGACCUGGAGAGAACCAAGAUAAGGAGGGUUCCUGCCCCCAGGUGAACAUUAACUUUCCCCAGCUCGGCCUCUGUCGGGACCAGUGCCAGGUGGACAGCCAGUGUCCUGGCCAGAUGAAAUGCUGCCGCAAUGGCUGUGGGAAGGUGUCCUGUGUCACUCCCAAUUUCUGAGCUCCAGCCACCACCAGGCUGAGCAGUGAGGAGAGAAAGUUUCUGCCUGGCCCUGCAUCUGGUUCCAGCCCACCUGCCCUCCCCUUUUUCGGGACUCUGUAUUCCCUCUUGGGCUGACCACAGCUUCUCCCUUUCCCAACCAAUAAAGUAACCACUUUCAGCA
RNAcentral lists this small RNA (460 nucleotides) under Pan troglodytes (chimpanzee). RNAcentral describes it as "processed transcript". The record is from RNAcentral. Lineage: Eukaryota; Metazoa; Chordata; Mammalia; Primates; Hominidae.